Molecule: ribosomal RNA, 659 nt
Filed under: uncultured Stenotrophomonas sp.
Lineage: Bacteria; Pseudomonadati; Pseudomonadota; Gammaproteobacteria; Lysobacterales; Lysobacteraceae
Description: bacterial SSU rRNA
Rfam family: Bacterial small subunit ribosomal RNA
Source: RNAcentral
AGUGAACGCUGGCGGUAGGCCUAACACAUGCAAGUCGAACGGCAGCACAGUAAGAGCUUGCUCUUAUGGGUGGCGAGUGGCGGACGGGUGAGGAAUACAUCGGAAUCUACUUUUUCGUGGGGGAUAACGUAGGGAAACUUACGCUAAUACCGCAUACGACCUACGGGUGAAAGCAGGGGAUCUUCGGACCUUGCGCGAUUGAAUGAGCCGAUGUCGGAUUAGCUAGUUGGCGGGGUAAAGGCCCACCAAGGCGACGAUCCGUAGCUGGUCUGAGAGGAUGAUCAGCCACACUGGAACUGAGACACGGUCCAGACUCCUACGGGAGGCAGCAGUGGGGAAUAUUGGACAAUGGGCGCAAGCCUGAUCCAGCCAUACCGCGUGGGUGAAGAAGGCCUUCGGGUUGUAAAGCCCUUUUGUUGGGAAAGAAAUCCAGCCGGCUAAUACCUGGUUGGGAUGACGGUACCCAAAGAAUAAGCACCGGCUAACUUCGUGCCAGCAGCCGCGGUAAUACGAAGGGUGCAAGCGUUACUCGGAAUUACUGGGCGUAAAGCGUGCGUAGGUGGUUGUUUAAGUCUGUUGUGAAAGCCCUGGGCUCAACCUGGGAACUGCAGUGGAAACUGGACAACUAGAGUGUGGUAGAGGGUAGCGGAAUUCCCGGU